GAUGAACGCUGGCGGCGUGCCUAAUACAUGCAGGUCGAGCGAACGGACGAGAAGCUUGCUUUUCUGAUGUUAGCGGCGGACGGGUGAGUAACACGUGGAUAACCUACCUAUAAGACUGGGAUAACUUCGGGAAACCGGAGCUAAUACCGGAUAAUAUUUUGAACCGCAUGGUUCAGAAGUGAAAGACGGUCUUGCUGUCACUUAUAGAUGGAUCCGCGCUGCAUUAGCUAGUUGGUAAGGUAACGGCUUACCAAGGCAACGAUGCAUAGCCGACCUGAGAGGGUGAUCGGCCACACUGGAACUGAGACACGGUCCAGACUCCUACGGGAGGCAGCAGUAGGGAAUCUUCCGCAAUGGGCGAAAGCCUGACGGAGCAACGCCGCGUGAGUGAUGAAGGUCUUCGGAUCGUAAAACUCUGUUAUUAGGGAAGAACAUAUGUGUAAGUAACUGUGCACAUCUUGACGGUACCUAAUCAGAAAGCCACGGCUAACUACGUG
RNAcentral lists this ribosomal RNA (497 nucleotides) under uncultured bacterium. Its description in RNAcentral is "partial 16S ribosomal RNA". It matches the Rfam family "Bacterial small subunit ribosomal RNA", at positions 28 to 507 of the family's 1533-position model. The record is from RNAcentral.